RNAcentral lists this ribosomal RNA (253 nucleotides) under uncultured bacterium. RNAcentral's name for it is "partial 16S ribosomal RNA". It matches the Rfam family "Bacterial small subunit ribosomal RNA", at positions 524 to 776 of the family's 1533-position model. The record is from RNAcentral.
GACAGAGGGUGCAAACGUUGUUCGGAGUUACUGGGCGUAAAGCGUGUGUAGGCGGUCCACUAAGUCGGGUGUGAAAGCCCUGGGCUCAACCCAGGAAGUGCACUCGAAACUGGCGGGCUAGAGUAUCGGAGAGGUUGGUGGAAUUCUCGGUGUAGAGGUGAAAUUCGUAGAUAUCGAGAGGAACACCGGUGGCGAAGGCGGCCAACUGGACGAAUACUGACGUUGAGACACGAAAGCGUGGGGAGCAAACAGG